CAUAACUCGAACGGCACAGUGGCAGAGAUGUGUCCAAUCAGUACACAGCGUUCCAGGAUAUCUGGUUGUCAAGAAGGUACCUCAUGUUGCGGGCGUAGGCCUUAAUGCCAUCCAUGGAGUCGUCAUCUGUCCACAUCUCAUCGUCAUCGUUUUCUUCGUCCGUUUCAGGAUCCGUCUCUGGAGUGGCGGCUGGCGUUGGCCCUAACGUUUCUUGUGGUGGCUGUGGAGCUGGGGCAGCCACUGUUGCUGCUGCGAUUGUUGGUGGAUUUUGCGAUGUCACUGGAACUGCUGGAACUGCUGGAGUUGCCGUCACUGCCUGGGAUUGGAUGAGCGAGUGCCUGGCUGCAGGAUCCCUCGCAGGAUUGGCGUUUCGGCUUCAUCUUCUGCCGGGAGCGGUUGUUGGCAGGCUGCUGCUGCUGUCGCUGUCGCUGUUGU
This 435-nucleotide unclassified non-coding RNA is filed under the name Drosophila pseudoobscura pseudoobscura. Its description in RNAcentral is "GA30683". Lineage: Eukaryota; Metazoa; Arthropoda; Insecta; Diptera; Drosophilidae. The record is from RNAcentral.